Molecule: long non-coding RNA, 1081 nt
Filed under: Fragaria vesca (wild strawberry)
Lineage: Eukaryota; Viridiplantae; Streptophyta; Magnoliopsida; Rosales; Rosaceae
Description: long non-coding RNA (FVES_LNC004021)
Source: RNAcentral
CAGAACGCUUCAUGACCUUGCGUAAUGCCAUUGGCAUUUGUUCUCAAUAUUGAAAAUUAGUAUGUUGGGCACUCACUCCAAGGUAUCGCCUUUCAGUUCAUGAUCUUAAAUUGUCUUGGGUGUGAGCUUACAUUUUGCUGCAUCAUUCAUUGUUUCUCUAGACAUAGCUGCUUUGGGUCUUUCUUCAUGUCUUAUCCGAUGCAUUUCAAUUAUCUUAGCCUUUGUGUUUGGUUCAAUUUACACGUACUUCAUAGUGGUGGAACAAUUUUGAGUUGAGUCACCUAAUCAGGAGCAGGGGUAGUUGAAUAUGGUACUUAUUUUAGACUACAUGCUACAAUUCAAAAUUUCAAGUGCAUGUAGUCUUAGGCCAGGCUAGUUCUACAUCUCCAGGAAUUGAUUAACUACUCGAUGCCUGGUGGAAUGGACUGGUUUGGUCUCCCCGGUGGAAUUUUAUUAUUCUUUGGCGGUUAAAUAGACCUCGGAACAUCCUUGUUAUGUCUAGUACCCUAAAGUCACCUGACUUGGGAGUUACUGUCUAUUUUUCGACCAAGCGUUACUAUUGGGCAAGUCUUACGCGAAAACAAAAAACAAAAAAUAGCGUAGAAGUAUGGAAUGGUGCUAUAAGGGGAGAGUCGAAAUUUUUGCUUGCGAAUUUAAUCACUCCUCUAAUUUCUUCCCAUUAUGAAGUAUACUCAUCGCACAUCACUCCAUCACUUUGGCUAAUAUACUUGCAUAUUGCUAGAUUUACUUGAAUGCAUUGACUAAGAAAGCUUAUUGUCUUGUUCUAAUGGAUGAUUUCGGUGAUCUUAAUAUCACAUUAUCUUGGCUACAUGUUUUGCUUGAACUGGAGUCUAACAUGUUGGAGUGUGGGCACAUGAUUAUUUCUUUUCCUUGUUGUGCACAUAGAACGCGCAAGGCUGAGUGUUAUCACAAUGUCAGUCCAUUUUGUUUUGUCGCAAUUUGUCUCUCUAGCUUAAAUUUAGAUGUUCUCUUCGUAAUCAGUCGUAGGGUUUUAUCUCUUAGUAAUUUUGUUUUUUUUUCUUGCUCGAUUUGCAUUUUAGAUAGAAAUUUAGUUUUUUCC